CUUUUCUUGUUAGUUUUUGAAGUAUGGCCUGCCCGCUGACAUUUGGUGUUGAAGGGCCGCGGUAUUUUGACCGUGCAAAGGUAGCAUAAUCAUUAGUUCUUUAAUUGUGAUCUGGAAUGAAUGGCUUGACGAGGCACGGGCUGUCUUAGUGUUGAAUGUUUUAUUGAAUUUGGUCUUUGAGUUAAAAUUCUUAGAUGUUUUUGUGGGACGAGAAGACCCUAUAGAGUUUGACAUUUGGUUUAUUUACUUGUUUGUUGUUUGUUUAUUUUUGGUGAGUGGGCUUUUUGUUUUGUUGGGGUGAUGGGAGGAAUGUACUUAACUCCUCUUAGUUUUGGUUAUAUUGA
RNAcentral lists this ribosomal RNA (344 nucleotides) under Coptotermes gestroi. RNAcentral's name for it is "partial 16S ribosomal RNA". The record is from RNAcentral. Lineage: Eukaryota; Metazoa; Arthropoda; Insecta; Blattodea; Rhinotermitidae.